CUUGUACUCCCUCCGUUUCAAAUUACCCGUCGCAAAAAUGGAUGUAUCUAAAAUUAAAAUACAUCUAAAUACGUUCAUAUCUGCGACAAGUAGUUCGAAACGGAGGGAGUAGUAU
Molecule: non-coding RNA, 115 nt
Organism: Triticum aestivum (bread wheat)
Lineage: Eukaryota; Viridiplantae; Streptophyta; Magnoliopsida; Poales; Poaceae
Source: Rfam